CAGGCUUAACACAUGCAAGUCGAGGGGCAGCAUGGUCUUAGCUUGCUAAGGCCGAUGGCGACCGGCGCACGGGUGAGUAACACGUAUCCAACCUGCCGUCUACUCUUGGACAGCCUUCUGAAAGGAAGAUUAAUACAAGAUGGCAUCAUGAGUCCGCAUGUUCACAUGAUUAAAGGUAUUCCGGUAGACGAUGGGGAUGCGUUCCAUUAGAUAGUAGGCGGGGUAACGGCCCACCUAGUCUUCGAUGGAUAGGGGUUCUGAGAGGAAGGUCCCCCACAUUGGAACUGAGACACGGUCCAAACUCCUACGGGGGGCAGCAGUGAGGAAUAUUGGUCAAUGGGCGAGAGCCUGAACCAGCCAAGUAGCGUGAAGGAUGACUGCCCUAUGGGUUGUAAACUUCUUUUAUAAAGGAAUAAAGUCGGGUAUGGAUACCCGUUUGCAUGUACUUUAUGAAUAAGGAUCGGCUAACUCCGUGCCAGCAGCCGCGGUAAUACGGAGGAUCCGAGCGUUAUCCGGAUUUAUUGGGUUUAAAGGGAGCGUAGAUGGAUGUUUAAGUCAGUUGUGAAAGUUUGCGGCUCAACCGUAAAAUUGCAGUUGAUACUGGAUAUCUUGAGUGCAGUUGAGGCAGGCGGAAUUCGUGGUGUAGCGGUGAAAUGCUUAGAUAUCACGAAGAACUCCGAUUGCGAAGGCAGCCUGCUAAGCUGCAACUGACAUUGAGGCUCGAAAGUGUGGGUAUCAAACAGGAUUAGAUACCCUGGUAGUCCACACGGUAAACGAUGAAUACUCGCUGUUUGCGAUAUACUGCAAGCGGCCAAGCGAAAGCGUUAAGUAUUCCACCUGGGGAGUACGCCGGCAACGGUGAAACUCAAAGGAAUUGACGGGGGCCCGCACAAGCGGAGGAACAUGUGGUUUAAUUCGAUGAUACGCGAGGAACCUUACCCGGGCUUAAAUUGCAGAUGAAUUACGGUGAAAGCCGUAAGCCGCAAGGCAUCUGUGAAGGUGCUGCAUGGUUGUCGUCAGCUCGUGCCGUGAGGUGUCGGCUUAAGUGCCAUAACGAGCGCAACCCUUGUUGUCAGUUACUAACAGGUUCCGCUGAGGACUCUGACAAGACUGCCAUCGUAAGAUGUGAGGAAGGUGGGGAUGACGUCAAAUCAGCACGGCCCUUACGUCCGGGGCUACACACGUGUUACAAUGGGGGGUACAGAGGGCCGCUACCACGCGAGUGGAUGCCAAUCCCCAAAACCUCUCUCAGUUCGGACUGGAGUCUGCAACCCGACUCCACGAAGCUGGAUUCGCUAGUAAUCGCGCAUCAGCCACGGCGCGGUGAAUACGUUCCCGGGCCUUGUACACACCGCCCGUCAAGCCAUGGGAGCCGGGGGUACCUGAAGUGCGUAACCGCGAGGAGCGCCCUAGGGUAAAACUGGUGACUGGGGCUAAGUC
This 1440-nucleotide ribosomal RNA is filed under the name uncultured organism. RNAcentral's name for it is "16S ribosomal RNA". It matches the Rfam family "Bacterial small subunit ribosomal RNA". The record is from RNAcentral.